GAGUUUGAUCCUGGCUCAGGAUGAACGCUAGCGGCAGGCCUAACACAUGCAAGUCGAGGGGUAGAGUUAGCUUGCUAACUUGAGACCGGCGCACGGGUGCGUAACGCGUAUGCAAUCUACCUUGUACAGAGGGAUAGCCCAGAGAAAUUUGGAUUAAUACCACAUAGUAUAUUGGGGUGGCAUCACUUUGAUAUUAAAGAUUUAUCGCUAAAAGAUGGGUGUGCGUAUGAUUAGGUAGUUGGUAGAGGUAACGGCUCACCAAGCCUUCGAUCAUUAACUGGUGUGAGAGCACGACCAGUCACACGGGCACUGAGACACGGGCCCGACUCCUACGGGAGGCAGCAGUAAGGAAUAUUGGUCAAUGGACGCAAGUCUGAACCAGCCAUGCCGCGUGAAGGAUGACGGCCCUCUGGGUUGUAAACUUCUUUUAUGUGGGACGAAAAAGGGCCAUUUUUGGUCAACUGACGGUACCAUAGGAAUAAGCACCGGCUAACUCCGUGCCAGCAGCCGCGGUAAUACGGAGGGUGCAAGCGUUAUCCGGAUUUACUGGGUUUAAAGGGAGCGCAGGCGGACUGGUAAGUCAGUGGUGAAAGCCUUGAGCUUAACUCGAGAACUGCCAUUGAUACUAUCAGUCUUGAAUGUUGUUGAGGUUUGCGGAAUGGGUCAUGUAGCGGUGAAAUGCAUAGAUAUGACCCGGAACACCUAUUGCGAAGGCAGCAGGCUAAACAAAUAUUGACGCUGAGGCUCGAAAGCGUGGGGAUCAAACAGGAUUAGAUACCCUGGUAGUCCACGCCCUAAAC
RNAcentral lists this ribosomal RNA (800 nucleotides) under uncultured bacterium. Its description in RNAcentral is "bacterial SSU rRNA". It matches the Rfam family "Bacterial small subunit ribosomal RNA", at positions 9 to 807 of the family's 1533-position model. The record is from RNAcentral.